AUAUCAAUAAGCGGAGGAAAAGAAACUAACAAGGAUUCCCCUAGUAACUGCGAGUGAAGCGGGAACAGCUCAAAUUUUAAAUCUCCAAGGUCCCCUUGGCGAAUUGUAGUUUAAAGAAGUGUUUUCGGCGACGGUCUUGGUUCAAGUCCCUUGGAACAGGGUGUCAUAGAGGGUGAGAACCCCGUGAAACCUUGACUUGUUGCUAUGUGAUACACUUUCAAAGAGUCGGGUUGUUUGGGAUUGCAGCCCAAAAUGGGAGGUAAAUUUCUUCUAAAGCUAAAUAUUGGCGAGAGACCGAUAGCGCACAAGUA
RNAcentral lists this ribosomal RNA (311 nucleotides) under uncultured Harpochytrium. Its description in RNAcentral is "partial large subunit ribosomal RNA". It matches the Rfam family "Eukaryotic large subunit ribosomal RNA", at positions 40 to 350 of the family's 3401-position model. The record is from RNAcentral. Lineage: Eukaryota; Fungi; Monoblepharomycota; Monoblepharidomycetes; Monoblepharidales; Harpochytriaceae.